This is a long non-coding RNA of Gasterosteus aculeatus aculeatus (three-spined stickleback), 663 nucleotides long. NCBI's taxonomy places the organism in Eukaryota, Metazoa, Chordata, Actinopteri, Perciformes, Gasterosteidae. The record is from Ensembl.
GCGACGUAGCUGGUGUAGCGACGUAGCUGGUGUAGCGACGUAAGCUGCGCAAAUGUCGAGUAAUAUCUCGAUUUUAAUUGGUCCAUGUUUGAUACGUAACGUUACCUUACUUACCUAUUUACAUCCAAAGGAACAGCAGAGUUGAAGAAUAAAUAAUCGAAGUGCGCAACGUGGGUUUUUCGCUUGUCGUCUGCAACGAAUGGACGGGUGAAAGUGGUCCCACCCCAAACAUUCCAGUACCCCGCCUCAUUCAACUAUAUCCAUCCCUGCGAGCCGGUCCGGCUGCACAGCUCCUAAUGUUCACCAAGGAGGUAAGAAGGUGCGUUGGUGGGUCUGCUGGCUCUGGGUUCUGAUGCGGCCACAGCGGGCUGCUUGCAGAACCGGGUUUUGGUGGGCUGCUCGUUAUGCAAGAGGUUAGUCAUCAUGGUAUGAUUCACCCACUGUUUCACUCUUUUAUUCUCUGUACCCUUUCACCGCUCUUAAACUCUUCAGGGGAACACAAGGGGACAGAAUUAGACACCGGCAUGUUUUCCAUUUCACUGUACUGUCAGUGGUAAAAACAGGUAAAAACAGGAAGCCAGAUAAGUUAAUGAGAGUCCAUUUUUUAGGGAGGCCAUUAGCCUCAGAAGAUGGAAGCCAAAGUCACAAGGUGGAAACUGUCAC